GAAAGAAACUGGGUUUUUGGCAUCACACGCCUUGCAUGAGUUCGGCUGUCGAGACGCCAAGGGCUUUGGCAAUGGCUCCGACGUUUCGCAAUCCGACAUUCCGCUUGCCCCGCUCGAUUCCGCUGAUGUAGGUCCGGUCGAGAUUGCACUUGGCCGCGAAAUCUUCUUGAGAAAGGCCAAGGGCCAUUCUCAUUUCUCGAACUCGGUUGCCGAAGGAUUGGAGAAUGCCAUUGCUGUUUCCAUUUUCGGAAUGGUAGCGGCAUCUUGGACCAUGAGUCCACGGCUUAUGAGUCAACGGACUAUGAGUAACAAGCCCGGUCUGGCUUCUGAGUGCCACAUGAGAACCAACGACCCUCAGCGCCCGCUAUUGUCACGCCUUCCGCCGCUACAGCAG
Molecule: ribosomal RNA, 394 nt
Filed under: uncultured bacterium
Lineage: Bacteria
Description: partial 16S ribosomal RNA
Source: RNAcentral